AAGUGAAGGGAAUGAGCGGCGGACGGGUGAGUAACACGUAAGGAACCUGCCCCAAGGAUUGGGAUAACUCCGAGAAAUCGGAGCUAAUACCGAAUAGUUCUUCAGACCGCAUGGUCUGAUGAUGAAAGGCGCUCCGGCGUCACCUUGGGAUGGCCUUGCGGUGCAUUAGCUAGUUGGUGGGGUAAUGGCCCACCAAGGCGACGAUGCAUAGCCGACCUGAGAGGGUGAUCGGCCACACUGGGACUGAGACACGGCCCAGACUCCUACGGGAGGCAGCAGUAGGGAAUCUUCCACAAUGGACGAAAGUCUGAUGGAGCAACGCCGCGUGAGUGAUGAAGGUUUUCGGAUCGUAAAACUCUGUUGUAAGGGAAGAACAAGUACGAGAGGGAAUGCUCGUACCUUGACGGUACCUUGCGAGAAAGCCACGGCUAACUACGUGCCAGCAGCCGCGGUAAUACGUAGGUGGCAAGCGUUGUCCGGAAUUAUUGGGCGUAAAGCGCGCGCAGGCGGCCUUUUAAGUCUGAUGUGAAAGCCCCCGGCUCAACCGGGGAGGGUCAUUGGAAACUGGAAGGCUUGAGUACAGAAGAGAAGAGUGGAAUUCCAUGUGUAGCGGUGAAAUGCGUAGAGAUGUGGAGGAACACCAGUGGCGAAGGCGACUC
This 659-nucleotide ribosomal RNA is filed under the name Exiguobacterium sp. RNAcentral's name for it is "bacterial SSU rRNA". It matches the Rfam family "Bacterial small subunit ribosomal RNA", at positions 80 to 727 of the family's 1533-position model. Lineage: Bacteria; Bacillati; Bacillota; Bacilli; Caryophanales. The record is from RNAcentral.